CAUCUGGGAUCACUUCGAAGCUGCACUGAAACUGACAUUUGGACCUUCAAACAGUUGGUAGCCGUUGAAGUCCACUAUACUGUAUGGAGAAAAAUCCUGGAAUGUUUUCCUCAAAAACCUUCAUUUCUUUUUGACUGAAGAAAGAAAAUAAAACAUCUUAGAUGACAUGGGAAGUGAAGAUGUGCUCUUACGAGUGCCCAAGGUGUCACCUGAUUUAGAAGCUUUGUCUGUUGUUUGGAACAAGUACCAUUUGGCAAUGUUUUUGUGAGGGGAAGACAUACAUGGCUUUGCACAUGGGCAGUGCUAGGUACCAGCCGUUGAAUUGUAUGUGACCAUUACUCUCCCAAUGAGAUUAUAGUAAUGAACAGUAGGCUCAUGUAUGGAGAGAGUGAUUUGCUUUUGAGAUUCACCUAAUGCCACCAACACUGAAAUUAAAACAUGAGCUGUCUGAGCUAAUUUUUGUCUUUUCAAAUAAACUGCCUUCUUGAGAUGGUCAAGCUUAAAUUCAUAGGAGAGCUAUGAAUUUAAGCUUGACCAUCUCAUCAAGGACACUUGGUUCCAGGUGCUCCUCAAAUGCUGUGUCAAAACAAUAAUCCAGUGAACAAAAGUGUUCACAGAGACUAAAUGUGUGUCCACUCCAGUGAGCAAGUUGCCGGUAUUGGCGACACUACUCUAACUCACACCUAACAUAAUGAGUUUUACCCUAUGUCUUUCUCUGUACAUGAACUGGUAUAGUGAAACCAUGAUCACUUCUUUGAACUCCUGACAGUCCAUUUUAGGGAUCAAUACACACUGGAAAGAUGUGACUCCAUUGUAAUAUCUUUCAAAUGGUCAGUAUGUUUUCUGUUAAUGUAGAUUAUCUGUAAUGAACUGCUCCAAGACACAAAUGGUUGAGGAUCCAAAUGCAGUGUUUUAUUGAAAGGAUAAUCCACAAUCGUAGUCCACAAACAGGCAAAAGGGUCAAAACACAGGUGGGCAGUCCAAACAAUAAACACAGAACAAGGCAGGGUGGCUUUGAGGAUUCAGGAGGCUCACCAUCUUCAUCCUCAUCAGCCAUCUCCUGCUCUCGUUUGGCUUAGAACAAGAAGAGCAACUGCUGCUGAAUCUAACAAUGUCAUUUACAACACAUCAUCAUAAUCACACAGCUCUCUCCCGUCACGGGGAAUUUCACCCCUUCAACUCUUCAAUAAGCUCCAGCUGAAAACCCCAUGAUCUAGUCUCUACUCUGCCUCAGCAAGAGUAAGACCCGAACCAUUAGGUGCAGCUGCCGGUCCUUCUCCUCUCGAGGAAAAGACCAGAACAGAGUGGAGCAUUUUACAAUAAAACACACAAUAAAAACAGACAGAUCCCUCAAGAACUGCUCUUUUGUUCUCAUAAAAGACAACGUUAUAAGUUAUAUAUGUGAUCAGAUGUCAACACUACGGGACAUGGAUGCACACACUUCCUGAAACGUUUGUUAGACAUAAUUUGUCUUACCUUAAUAUUGGUUUUAUAUCGCUUGCUUUCAAACAAAAUAGUCCCUAAUGAAAAGAUACUGACUGGUUCUCUAGGAGCUCCUUAUAUACUGUGAUGUAUAUAAUGAUGACGUCAUAGGCUGUCGCCGGCCAAUAGGAUUGUCGUGAGUUGAUAUUAUUUUCAGACACCGGUUCACGAGGAGGCGUUCCCCAAAAGUGUUUUCGAAUGCAGUGUUGAGUUCCCUUUCGAAAGGGAACUAUAUUUUGUUCUAAUGUAUGUAUGAGAUUUGAUUAACUUGCUUAGUUAAUUUAAAGCUGCAAAUAUUUUGUUGUUUCAGGUACAGAAGCAAACAGGGAUAUUUGUGGCCUUCUUUGCAAAAGAGUGGAGAGGCAUUUAACAAUACUACAUCAUUUUAAUGUGUAACUUUCUCUCUUUUUGUUUUUAUUUGAUUAUGGCUCAUCAGAUAUUGUUUAACAUAAAUUAGUCAUUUGUUUUUAAAGUAUGUUUUUGCAUGUGCAACAGGAACAUAGUUUCAGAGCAGUUCACAAUAAUUUAAUAUCACACGUUUAUGCCUAUCGUUUGCUUAUAAUGCACCUUUGAUGAACUGACAAUAGCUAUGUUUCCAUCGCCCUGUGUUUAUGCACAUUUUGAAGUAUCUCAUCAGAAAAAAUUCACAAAAUUCAAGUUUUUUGACGAAAUGGAUAGGAUUCUCGGCCACAGACCUAUCAUUAGGACUCUGGCUUCUGUCAUUAACAGUUCAGGUUGGUAUUGACUUAUUACAUUAAAUUAUUGGUUAACAUUUAAAGGGAUUUUUCAACAUGGGCUCUGUGUUUACAUUUUUUUUUGUGUGUCUAGAGACGAAUGGUGAGGACGUCGAGAAUGAGCUUGAAAACACACAGAGCAACGCUGAAUCAGAAAGUACCAUGAAGCCCUAAUUCACAGCUUGUUGCAGCUCUUUUUAACUUAAAGGUUUACUUCACUUAAAAGUGAAAUUUCUGUCAUUUAGCCUAUUAUUCACCCUCAUGUACAUCAUCUUUGAAACACAAAUGAAGAUGUUUUUGAUGAAAUCCGAGAGCUCUCUGACUCGUCCAUAGACAGCAAUUUAAUUACCACUGUCAAGGUCCAGAAAGGUACUAAAGACAUUGUUAAAAUAGUCCACAUGACUGCAGUGGUUCAACCUUACAUUUCUCAUUUUGGUGUGUAAAUGUAUUCAAUUAAUCCAAGUCUACAGUUGUGAUCCACACUCAAAGUUCUUUUAAGCACUUUAUUGUAUAUUUAAUCAGUGAGCUGAAACAUCAAUAAAAAAAAUCACUAAAAUAUCCCUUCUGUGCCCACAUUCUUCAUCACCCACAGUUACACAAGCACAUUAAUAACCACAUAAUCCCUGAUCUCAUCAAACAUUAUGUUCUUAUUUGAUUUUUCUACCUUUCUAACAAAAGCAAAUGUAUGUUUGUAAGUUCACAUUGUGACAUACUGCUAUACUAGUUGAAUAAAUAAUACAGACAAUGCUAUUACUAUAUAAAUAAUUGUCAAAAACAUGUCACAUACAACUCUUUUAGUUAUUAAAAUGUAUCGAUUGCUUUCUUACUGUGGGCACCCACAACACAGCUAACAGCAUUUUAUUAUCUUACAUUGACUAAUAUCUACAUAUAUUACCAUGAAUUACCACAUUAUAGUAAAAGAUUAUCAGAGUGUAAAAGCUUCUUGUGCUUUUCUUUGUGCACUACAGAGUAAAAUAACAUCAAUCACUUUUAUAUGUUACCCAAUGAGGGUGUAAUUGAAACCCACUCCCUCUCUUAAUAAGGUAGAAAGUAGCUACUGCUACAUCCAGUAUUUACAUGCCUGUUUCCAAACCAGCAUGCGGAUUACUUGCUGUUAUAUACAACAUAAACACAUUUAUGAGUCCUUCAGUUAAUUAUUGUCUUUUUUGGUAUUAUUAUCUUAUGAAAUGGCCAGCUUUGCCACCCCUCCUAACCACCUGAGCUCCACCUGCUUCUUGUUCAGUCUGGGAAACUGUAUCAGCAGUUAUUCUGACAUCUUACUGUACAUCGGCUCAUCUCAGAAGAGUGAACUCAACUACAGAGUGCGGUAAACCAACUGAAGAGAAGAUUUAUUCCGGUCAAUUUCAGAUUCAGAAACAAGAAUGUCUCAAACUGUCGUACCCAUGACCUCUUCGACGCUUGUCAUCCAGUUUCAACCACCAACACAAACAACAGCAGCUGGAACUGGGACAAAUGCUCCUGUGCCUGUUUAUGCCAGAGUUUCACCUCUUAAUGGACUUCAGGCAUUUCUGAAUGGCCAACCAAAAGCUCUUGGGACUGUCCAGAUAAUGAUUGGUCUGUGGACUCUCCUGUUGGGAAUCGUGUCUUCACUUCAUGCAGAAUCCAUCUCUGUCUUCAGUGGUGUUGUUUACUGGGGAUCUCUCAUCUACAUUAUCGCAGGCUCACUCUCCAUUGCUGCAGAAAACAAAGUGAAUUCACCCUCCAGUUUGCGUUUGGUGAAAGGUUCACUUAGAAUGAACAUUUUCAGUGCUAUAACUGCAGUCAUGUCCAUCAUCAUAAUUUCAAUGGAUUUGGU
RNA transcript from Ctenopharyngodon idella (grass carp), 4032 nucleotides. It is a transcript of the gene named membrane-spanning 4-domains subfamily A member 4A-like, with no coding region annotated. The record is from RefSeq and is a predicted model, not a curated record. NCBI's taxonomy places the organism in Eukaryota, Metazoa, Chordata, Actinopteri, Cypriniformes, Xenocyprididae. The transcript has 6 exons.